GACGAACGCUGGCGGCGUGCUUAACACAUGCAAGUCGAACGGAAAGGCCCUGCUUUUGUGGGGUGCUCGAGUGGCGAACGGGUGAGUAACACGUGAGUAACCUGCCCUUGACUUUGGGAUAACUUCAGGAAACUGGGGCUAAUACCGGAUAGGAGCUCCUGCUGCAUGGUGGGGGUUGGAAAGUUUCGGCGGUUGGGGAUGGACUCGCGGCUUAUCAGCUUGUUGGUGGGGUAGUGGCUUACCAAGGCUUUGACGGGUAGCCGGCCUGAGAGGGUGACCGGCCACAUGGGGACUGAGAGACGGCCCAGACUCGUACGGGAGGCAGCAGUGGGGAAUAUUGCACAAUGGGCGGAAGCCUGAUGCAGCAACGCCGCGUGCGGGAUGACGGCCUUCGGGUGGUAAACCGCUUUCGCCUGUGACGAAGCGUGAGUGACGGUAAUGGGUAAAGAAGCACCGGCUAACUACGUG
Molecule: ribosomal RNA, 468 nt
Filed under: uncultured bacterium
Lineage: Bacteria
Description: partial 16S ribosomal RNA
Rfam family: Bacterial small subunit ribosomal RNA
Source: RNAcentral